This 506-nucleotide ribosomal RNA is filed under the name uncultured bacterium. RNAcentral describes it as "partial 16S ribosomal RNA". It matches the Rfam family "Bacterial small subunit ribosomal RNA", at positions 29 to 523 of the family's 1533-position model. The record is from RNAcentral.
AGUGAACGCUGGCGGUAGGCCUAACACAUGCAAGUCGAACGGCAGCACAGAGAAGCUUGCUCCUUGGGUGGCGAGUGGCGGACGGGUGAGGAAUACAUCGGAAUCUACUCUGUCGUGGGGGAUAACGUAGGGAAACUUACGCUAAUACCGCAUACGACCUACGGGUGAAAGCAGGGGAUCUUCGGACCUUGCGCGAUUGAAUGAGCCGAUGUCGGAUUAGCUAGUUGGCGGGGUAAAGGCCCACCAAGGCGACGAUCCGUAGCUGGUCUGAGAGGAUGAUCAGCCACACUGGAACGGAGACACGGUCCAGACUCCUACGGGAGGCAGCAGUGUGGAAUAUUGGACAACGGGCGCAAGCCUGAUCCAGCCAUACCGCGUGGGUGAAGAAGGCCUUCGGGUUGUAAAGCCCUUUUGUUGGGAAAGAAAUCCAUCUGGUUAAUACCCGGGUGGGAUGACGGUACCCAAAGAAUAAGCACCGGCUAACUUCGUGCCAGCCGCCGCGGUAA